GUUUUAACAUCUAUCAGAACAACAUGGCUAGUGAUUUGUCUUAGCCCUAAAAGAAAAUAAUUAAGAAAAAGGAAGGAAACAAGGUCUUUAUUAAGAAAAUAAUUAAACAAGGUCUGUCAAAUGUUUGUUCUGACAAGAUAAAAUUAUAACUGAUGCUAAAUAAAAGAAAAAUAAAAAAGUAAUUAAAAAAAUGAUUGACAAGCAUGCUCAAGGUCUUUUCUUCAUGUAUCUGUAUAUGUUUAGAAAGGCAUUUUAUAUACAUAAGGCACAAGCAUUUUUGUUUUGAUUUAUUUUACUUUUGUGGCAGUGGUCAUAAUUUGUCGGUAAGGCUGAAUUUUAGUAUGUAUGUAACCUUGAUAAAUUUCUUACUGAAUUUUAUAACCCAUGCAGAUAAGCAAUCAUUUUUGAACACUUCUA
Molecule: unclassified non-coding RNA, 417 nt
Filed under: Hevea brasiliensis (rubber tree)
Lineage: Eukaryota; Viridiplantae; Streptophyta; Magnoliopsida; Malpighiales; Euphorbiaceae
Source: RNAcentral